RNAcentral lists this ribosomal RNA (427 nucleotides) under uncultured bacterium. RNAcentral describes it as "bacterial SSU rRNA". It matches the Rfam family "Bacterial small subunit ribosomal RNA", at positions 355 to 774 of the family's 1533-position model. The record is from RNAcentral.
UAGGGAAUAUUGGACAAUGGGGGCAACCCUGAUCCAGCCAUGCCGCGUGAGUGAAGAAGGCCCUCGGGUUGUAAAGCUCUUUUGUCCGGAAAGAAAAGCUUCGGGUUAAUACCCCGGGGUUCUGACGGUACCGGAAGAAUAAGCACCGGCUAACUUCGUGCCAGCAGCCGCGGUAAUACGAAGGGUGCAAGCGUUACUCGGAAUUACUGGGCGUAAAGCGUGCGUAGGUGGUUGUUUAAGUCUGAUGUGAAAGCCCUGGGCUCAACCUGGGAAUGGCAUUGGAAACUGGGCAGCUAGAGUGCGGUAGAGGGUAGUGGAAUUCCCGGUGUAGCAGUGAAAUGCGUAGAGAUCGGGAGGAACAUCAGUGGCGAAGGCGACUGCCUGGACCAGCACUGACACUGAGGCACGAAAGCGUGGGGAGCAAACA